RNAcentral lists this unclassified non-coding RNA (257 nucleotides) under Pleosporormiella terricola. RNAcentral's name for it is "Preussia terricola partial internal transcribed spacer region". The stretch from base 1 to 46 matches the Rfam family "Eukaryotic small subunit ribosomal RNA", at positions 1786 to 1831 of the family's 1831-position model. The record is from RNAcentral. Lineage: Eukaryota; Fungi; Ascomycota; Dothideomycetes; Pleosporales; Sporormiaceae.
AAGUCGUAACAAGGUUUCCGUAGGUGAACCUGCGGAAGGAUCAUUAUCGUGGGGCUUCGGCCCCGUCGAGAUAGCACCCUUGCCUUUAUGAGUACCUUGGUUCCCCCCCCCGUACCUUCGGGGAGCGGGAGGGACCUCGUCCGUUUCCCUGUGGCGGCGAAAGCCCCUGGACCGCAAAACACGCUGUAACCACCUGCAACCGUCUGAUAAACAAACAAAAAAAAUCAAAACUUUCAACAACGGAUCUCUUGGUUCUG